Molecule: long non-coding RNA, 323 nt
Filed under: Olea europaea (common olive)
Lineage: Eukaryota; Viridiplantae; Streptophyta; Magnoliopsida; Lamiales; Oleaceae
Description: long non-coding RNA (OEUR_LNC009741)
Source: RNAcentral
AAAGAUUUGGUAUCUUUUCACAAUUAACAGUGUUAGUCCAAAAAAGCAGACCCAUGAUGGAAUCAUGCAACUCCACAAAGUCCAUAUUCAACAACUUGUUGCUGAAAUUUCAUCUCUCUCUCUCUCUCUCUAGAAGAAAAUGUUGUUUAAAACUUCAAUUUCAAUAUCUGUGAAUUUUACAGUUACUGACAUAUACAUACACAUAUAAUACACGGAGAGAGGGAGUUUUACAGUAGAGCGAUAGUCAUCUUUUGUCUACCACCUGGCAACUGCUCAAGAGUUCAUAUUUCCAGGUGUGCUUUCAAGAGACGCAACUGGGAAGU